CCUGGCGGCUGUAGCGCGGUGGUCCCACCUGACCCCAUGCCGAACUCAGAAGUGAAACGCCGUAGCGCCGA
RNAcentral lists this ribosomal RNA (71 nucleotides) under Cronobacter sakazakii. The record is from RNAcentral. RNAcentral also lists the same sequence under 4 other names. Lineage: Bacteria; Pseudomonadati; Pseudomonadota; Gammaproteobacteria; Enterobacterales; Enterobacteriaceae.